UUCGUUUAUAUAUUGGCCGACAAAUAAAACAACUCGUGAACCUUCCAGAAAUAGAAAACAAACGCAUUUGCCAAGGAAACGUGGCCCAAAACUAAGCAACCCCUAACAAAUAAAACAAACAAAA
Molecule: small RNA, 124 nt
Filed under: Drosophila erecta
Lineage: Eukaryota; Metazoa; Arthropoda; Insecta; Diptera; Drosophilidae
Description: GG26231
Source: RNAcentral